RNAcentral lists this ribosomal RNA (515 nucleotides) under uncultured delta proteobacterium. RNAcentral describes it as "bacterial SSU rRNA". It matches the Rfam family "Bacterial small subunit ribosomal RNA", at positions 29 to 523 of the family's 1533-position model. Lineage: Bacteria; Deltaproteobacteria. The record is from RNAcentral.
AGCGAACGUUAGCGGCGGGCUUAACACAUGCAAGUCGAACGCGAAAGGGAUUCGUCCCGGUAGCGUGCGUCCGGGUGAGUAACACGUUAGGAAACCUACCCCUCGAGCGGGGGGAUAACGUUCCGAAAGGAACGCUAAUACCGCAUAAGACCACGAUGGCUCCGGCCGUUGGGGUCAAAGAUGGCCUCUGUACACAAGCUAUCACUCGAGGAUGGUCCUGCGGCGCAUCAGCUAGUUGGUGGGGUAACGGCCUACCAAGGCGAAGACGCGUAGCUGGUCUGAGAGGAUGAUCAGCCACACUGGCACUGAAACACGGGCCAGACUCCUACGGGAGGCAGCAGUGGGAAUAUUGGUCAAUGGCGCAAGCCUGAACCAGCCACGCCGCGUGAGUGAUGAAGGCCUUCGGGUUGUAAAGCUCUGUGGGGAGGGAAGAAAACGGCCAGUAAGAAACGACUGGUCCUUGACGGUACCUCCUUAGCAAGCACCGGCUAACUCUGUGCCAGCAGCCGCGGUAA